UACGUAGGGUGCAAGCGUUUUCCGGAAUUAUUGGGCGUAAAGAGCUCGUAGGCGGUUUGUCGCGUCUGCUGUGAAAAUCCGAGGCUCAACCUCGGACCUGCAGUGGGUACGGGCAAACUAGAGUGCGGUAGGGGAGAUUGGAAUUCCUGGUGUAGCGGUGGAAUGCGCAGAUAUCAGGAGGAACACCAAUGGCGAAGGCAGAUCUCUGGGCCGUAACUGACGCUGAGGAGCGAAAGCGUGGGGAGCGAACAGG
Molecule: ribosomal RNA, 253 nt
Filed under: uncultured bacterium
Lineage: Bacteria
Description: partial 16S ribosomal RNA
Rfam family: Bacterial small subunit ribosomal RNA
Source: RNAcentral